GCCGCCGUUUGCAGCGGCGAUUCGCCUCGGGUUGGCCGUUUUCGGCCAUUUUGGCUGAAUUCAGUUACAUUUGCAUCGGUCCCUGCGAUAAAACAACCCUAGGGCCCUCGGAGGGCCAAAAAAUCACGAAAAAUUGAAACUUACCUGCGGCGGUGCUCUCAGGUGCGGCGGCUCCUCCGGCGUGAGUCGUGUUUUGUUGUUUGAUGCCAAUCAACCUGUAGAGAAAAGAACGGUGAUCACAGUGGUAUAAAAUUUACAUAGAACAGAGACCAGGAAGGGCCUCAUCGGAGGCAAAAACAGAGGGAGGUCGCGGCGGCGCCGCUGGACUUCAGCUUGGUUUUUCGGCCGUUUGGCCAGUAGUUUGGCUCCGGUUUGGCCAUAGGCGGACUUAGCAUCGAAAAACAAGCCAAGAGAAGAAAAUUUACCUUGAUCGGCGGUGGGAAACUUCCCCGGUGCGGCGGCGGGUGGCGGCGGCCGGCUCCUCCUGCGUCUGGUUCUUUUUCUCCGGCGAGGCACUGGCAGCUAGGGUUUUGUGGUCAGGUGUGGGUGGGGUUAUUUAUAUCCUUUGCCUUUUAAUCUCAACCGUCCAUCAAGAUUAAAUCUGGACCGUUCGAUCGCGAUUUAAUUGGAAUUAAAUCUGGACCGUCCAUCGUGAUGCAAUCUGGGCCGUCCAUGCCUUAUUGAAUCUGAGCUGUCUGUACGCGUGAAUCUGGGCCGUCCGUGCGCACGUUUGAUCUGGGUCGUCCGUGUGUGCGGGAACGGAUCUGGGCCGUCCGAUCACGCACACGCAAAUCGCCCAUGUGGCCCGUCCCGUGUCAGCGU
This 822-nucleotide long non-coding RNA is filed under the name Carica papaya (papaya). RNAcentral's name for it is "long non-coding RNA (CPAP_LNC015245)". The record is from RNAcentral. Lineage: Eukaryota; Viridiplantae; Streptophyta; Magnoliopsida; Brassicales; Caricaceae.